Molecule: ribosomal RNA, 505 nt
Filed under: uncultured bacterium
Lineage: Bacteria
Description: bacterial SSU rRNA
Rfam family: Bacterial small subunit ribosomal RNA
Source: RNAcentral
AUGAACGCUGGCGGCGUGCUUAACACAUGCAAGUCGAACGGAACAUUUCGCCCGAAGAUUGAAGUAGCUUGCUAUGGAUUGACUCAACUGAAAUGUUUAGUGGCGGACGGGUGAGUAACGCGUGGGUAACCUACCUUACACAGGGGGAUAACAGUUAGAAAUGACUGCUAAUACCGCAUAAGCGCACAGUAUCGCAUGAUACAGUGUGAAAAACUCCGGUGGUGUAAGAUGGACCCGCGUCUGAUUAGCUAGUUGGUGAGGUAACGGCCCACCAAGGCGACGAUCAGUAGCCGGCCUGAGAGGGUGAACGGCCACAUUGGAACUGAGACACGGUCCAAACUCCUACGGGAGGCAGCAGUGGGGAAUAUUGCACAAUGGGGGAAACCCUGAUGCAGCGACGCCCGCGUGAGUGAUGAAGUAUUUCGGUAUGUAAAGCUCCAUCAGCAGGGAAGAUCAUGACGGUACCUGACUAAGAAGCUCCGGCUAAAUACGUGCCAGCCGCCGC